This is a non-coding RNA of Acanthosepion pharaonis, 115 nucleotides long. NCBI's taxonomy places the organism in Eukaryota, Metazoa, Mollusca, Cephalopoda, Sepiida, Sepiidae. The record is from the annotation of a GenBank genome assembly.
UACGCUCAUGGCUUACAGUUAAAACAUCGGUUCUCGUACGAUCAUCGAAGUAAAGCAACUUUGAGCUUGGUCCGUACUUAGAUGGGUGACCACCUGGGAAUACUAGAUGUUGUAC